AUAACGGUCCUAAGGUAGCGAAAUUCCUUGUCAGGUAAGUUCUGACCCGCACGAAAGGCGUAACGAUUUGGGCGCUGUCUCGGCAGCAGACUCGGUGAAAUCUUAGUACCUGUGAAAAUGCAGGUUACCCGCAACUAGACGGAAAGACCCCAUGGAGCUUUACUGUAGCCUGAUAUUGAAUUUUGAUCAAAGAUGUACAGGAUAGGUGGGAGGCUGUGAGACGUGUACGCUAGUAUACGAGGAGCCGCUGUUGGGAUACCACUCUUGUUUGAUUGAAGUUCUAACCUGCACCCAUGAACUGGGUGAGGGACCGUGUCAGGUGGGCAGUUUGACUGGGGCGGUCGCCUCCUAAAGAGUAACGGAGGCGCCCAAAGGUACGCUCAGAUUGGAUGGAAAUCAAUCGACGAGUGCAAAUGCAGAAGCGUGCUUGACUGUGAGACAAACAAGUCGAACAGGGACGAAAGUCGGGAUUAGUGAUCCGGCGGUGCCGAAUGGAAGGGCCGUCGCUCAACGGAUAAAAGCUACCCUGGGGAUAACAGGCUGAUCUCCCCCAAGAGUUCACAUCGACGGCGAGGUUUGGCACCUCGAUGUCGGCUCAUCGCAUCCUGGAGCUGAAUUCGGUUCCAAGGGUUGGGCUGUCCGCCCAUUAAAGCGGUACGCGAGCUGGGUUCAGAACGUCGUGAGACAGUUCGGUCCCUAUCUGUUGUGGGCGUUGGAGAUCUGAGGAGAGCUGUCCUUAGUACGAGAGGACCGGGAUGGACCUACCGCUGGUGCACCAGUUGUUCCGCCAGGAGCAUAGCUGGGUAGCUAAGUAGGGAAGGGAUAAGCGCUGAAAGCAUCUAAGCGCGAAGCCUACUCCAAGAUGAGAUCUCCCAUUCGUAUAACGAAGUAAGACCCCUUGAAGACGACGAGGUGGAUAGGUCAGAGAUGGAAGUGUAGCGAUACAUGGAGUUGACUGAUACUAAUAGGUCGAGGACUUAAUCAC
This 985-nucleotide ribosomal RNA is filed under the name human gut metagenome. RNAcentral describes it as "bacterial LSU rRNA". It matches the Rfam family "Bacterial large subunit ribosomal RNA", at positions 1942 to 2925 of the family's 2925-position model. The record is from RNAcentral.